Molecule: ribosomal RNA, 253 nt
Filed under: uncultured bacterium
Lineage: Bacteria
Description: partial 16S ribosomal RNA
Rfam family: Bacterial small subunit ribosomal RNA
Source: RNAcentral
UACGGAGGGUGCAAGCGUUGUCCGGAAUUACUGGGCGUAAAGCGUGCGCAGGCGGUGGCUCAAGCCAGGCGUGAAAUCCCCGGGCUUAACCUGGGAAUGGCGUUUGGGACUGGGUCGCUAGAGUGUGGCAGAGGGAGGUGGAAUUCCACGUGUAGCAGUGAAAUGCGUAGAGAUGUGGAGGAACACCGAUGGCGAAGGCAGCCUCCUGGGCCAGCACUGACGCUCAUGCACGAAAGCGUGGGGAGCAAACAGG